Molecule: ribosomal RNA, 369 nt
Filed under: Triticum aestivum (bread wheat)
Lineage: Eukaryota; Viridiplantae; Streptophyta; Magnoliopsida; Poales; Poaceae
Description: partial small subunit ribosomal RNA
Source: RNAcentral
AUGAUGGAGCUACCAGGGAGGCAUUAUUGGGUCUUUAGUGACAACUUGAGGGACGGACGCUUCGAAGUUCUUGAUUCAAGCAGGACGCUGGACACCAUUGAGCUGAUGAACACCGCCUCUACCGUCGCGGGGGCAGUACGCCAGCUAUGGAGGAAGCAUUACCCAAAGUUCAGCAUCGAGCACUUCCAGAUUAUUGACAUUGACGUACCGAAGCAGCUCGGCAAUAAUGAGUGUGGGUUGUUCGCAUUGCUUAACGCCACCGAGUGGAAUGGUAGCCAACUGCCCAACUACGACCCCAAGGAAGUACUCAACAUCAGGAAGAAGCUGGCAUAUGAUUUGGUCACCAGCGUGCACAACACCGCCCCAUGA